CAGAAUAUUGCCUGGCACAUGAUACAUUUUUUUCAUGUCUUUAUACAGAUGUCUUUUUAAUUUAGAAAUCAAACUCUGCCUUUUGUAUUCUUGUAUAGAACUUGCACUGAGAGUGGGAAACUUACCAUACUACUUGGUAUUACUACUUAGUUCAGUGCCAUGUGUGUCUUCUUCAUAGGUUGUCAGUUCUUAGGGCCACUGUAAUCCAUUCAUCUUUGUUACUUCCAGAGAACUGAAGAUAGUGCCUUGUAUCAGCCAUAAAUAUUUAUACUGAAUUAAUUCAUAGCCCCUGAGGGCCUAAGUUAUUCAUUAUAUCUUUCUUUCCAUUCACCUGUUUCUUAGGGAUUUGUUGUUGCUGCUCCUCUUCCUCCUCCUUUCUUCUCUCCCUGCCUCCCCGUCCCCGACCAGUGUCUCACACAUGCUAGGCAAGCACUCUACCACUGAACUACAACCCCAGCCCAGGGAUUUGCUUCUUCUCACCUUAGCUGUCUUUAAAAAUAUAUUUGUUUUAUUUCACUACAAAACAUGUCACAAUGAUAAAUUCAGUAGAAAGUGCACAGUCCCUGGGGACCAGGCAUGGUGGCACACACCCUUAAUCCCAGCGACUUGAGAGACUGAGACAGGAGGAUUGCAUGUUUGAGGCCAAACUCGGCAACUUGGUUGACCCUACCUCAAAAUUAAAAAAAUAAAAAUAAAAUAAAAUUUAGGAGCCAGGCAUGGUGGAGCAUGCCUAUAAUCCCAGCAGCUCGGGAGGCUGAGGCAGGAGGAUCGUGAGUUCAAAGCCAGCCUCAGCAAAAAAGCAAGGUGCUAAAACUGAGUGAGACCCUGUCUCUAAAUAAAAUACAAAAUGGGGCUGGGGAUGUGGCCCUGACUGAAAUCCCUGGCAUGCCCCCCCCCCCCCAAAAAAAAAAAAAAAACAAAAGAAAAUCCACCAAUUUUAGGUAUGGGGAUGUAGCUUAGUGGUAAAGUACUCUUGAGUUCAAUCCCCAGUAACAGCUACCCUGCCAAAAAAAAAAAAAAAAAAAAAAAGACAACACAAUUAUUUGUAAAUACUGUACAGUUCAGUAGUGUUAAGUAUUUUCAUUGAAAUAGAUCUGUAGAACAUUUUUAUGGUGCAUGUCUGAAACUCCAGUACCUGUUAAACAACUCCUCUUUUUCCUCUUUUCCUAUUCCCCUGUUUACUGUCAUCUACCUGUCUGUAUGAAUUUGCCUGUUUUAAAUACCU
RNAcentral lists this long non-coding RNA (1225 nucleotides) under Marmota monax (woodchuck). The record is from RNAcentral. Lineage: Eukaryota; Metazoa; Chordata; Mammalia; Rodentia; Sciuridae.